Molecule: transfer RNA, 60 nt
Filed under: Macrostomum lignano
Lineage: Eukaryota; Metazoa; Platyhelminthes; Macrostomidae
Description: tRNA-Glu
Source: RNAcentral
UUAUAGUUAGUGUAAUAAGCAUAUAAAAUUUUCUAUUUUAAGGUGCCUUGGCACUAUAAA